This 482-nucleotide ribosomal RNA is filed under the name uncultured bacterium. Its description in RNAcentral is "partial 16S ribosomal RNA". It matches the Rfam family "Bacterial small subunit ribosomal RNA", at positions 30 to 507 of the family's 1533-position model. The record is from RNAcentral.
AUUGAACGCUGGCGGCAUGCCUUACACAUGCAAGUCGAACGGUAACGGGCCUUCGGGUGCCGACGAGUGGCGAACGGGUGAGUAAUACAUCGGAACGUGCCCGAUCGUGGGGGAUAACGAGGCGAAAGCUUUACUAAUACCGCAUACGAUCUACGGAUGAAAGCAGGGGACCGCAAGGCCUUGCGCGGACGGAGCGGCCGAUGGCAGAUUAGGUAGUUGGUGGGAUAAAAGCUUACCAAGCCGACGAUCUGUAGCUGGUCUGAGAGGAUGAUCAGCCACACUGGGACUGAGACACGGCCCAGACUCCUACGGGAGGCAGCAGUGGGGAAUUUUGGACAAUGGGCGCAAGCCUGAUCCAGCCAUGCCGCGUGCAGGAUGAAGGCCUUCGGGUUGUAAACUGCUUUUGUACGGAACGAAAAGCCUUCUUUUAAUACAGGAGGGUCAUGACGGUACCGUAAGAAUAAGCACCGGCUAACUACGUG